UACGUAGGGGGCAAGCGUUGUUCGGAAUUACUGGGCGUAAAGGGCGCGUAGGCGGGCUGUCAAGUCUGGGGUGAAAUGCCACGGCUCAACCGUGGAACUGCCUCAGAUACUGACGGCCUCGAGGGAGGUAGGGGCGUGCGGAACUGUAGGUGGAGCGGUGAAAUGCGUUGAUAUCUACAGGAACUCCGGUGGCGAAAGCGGCGCGCUGGACCUCUUCUGACGCUGAGGCGCGAAAGCUAGGGGAGCAAACGGG
RNAcentral lists this ribosomal RNA (253 nucleotides) under uncultured bacterium. RNAcentral's name for it is "partial 16S ribosomal RNA". It matches the Rfam family "Bacterial small subunit ribosomal RNA", at positions 524 to 776 of the family's 1533-position model. The record is from RNAcentral.